Molecule: long non-coding RNA, 1410 nt
Organism: Myotis myotis
Lineage: Eukaryota; Metazoa; Chordata; Mammalia; Chiroptera; Vespertilionidae
Exons: 12
Source: RefSeq, a predicted model, not a curated record
AGGUAAAAUUUUGGAAGCCCCUUUUAAUGCUGCCUGCUGUUCAUAGGGCCCCCAGGUCAUUGCCCCACAUAGUGACAUCAUCUCAUUAGUUUUGCAGAAAGACUUCCCUGAGGAACCAUCAUCUCCGGUAAAGGGAUUUUAAAUGACUAAUAAUCCAAGGCAAAGACAAACAGGAAGAGGAAGCAGGUAGGCCAGGAGAUUGGGGACCUCAUCUUAGCACCACAAUAGGAGUCCUCUUUAGGAAGAAGUGACAUUACAAAAGGCCGAAGAGAGAAAAACUGGAAAUAGAGGGGCUCACUCGAGUGGACCCUCUCACAGUGUGAAGAUCUGUCCUGAAAGUACUCAAUGUUUUCAUCUUUGGGCAGAAAAGCAGCUGAAAUCAUUUCUAGGAUUCCACCUCUCCAGGUAUCAUGAUGAUUAAGUAAAGUGUCGUUGUCUGUACAUAUCAACAAAGAGAAAGACAUUUUCCUUCUUGCUUUAAUUUUUAAUUCUUGGGGCUCUCAAGCUUAAGUCAUUCCUAAUUUAGAGCUUGGUGGUUCCCAUAGAUGAAGAUCACUUAAAUAUGAACACAUGUGAUCAUGAGUGAAUGUCAGCUAAAACAAUGAACAAAGAUCUAGAUUUUUCAAAGACUUCAGUUAUUAAAUUGGACACAAUGAGAAAGUGGAUUUCUGCAAGCCAGGAGUAGUGUUCUCACCAAAAACCGACCACACUGGCACCCUGACCAGUCUUCCAGGCUCCAGAAUUAGGAGUCCCGAGUGAAUGCGUGGUUUGUCACAUAGAAGGCAGGAAAAUGUCCACUGAAGCCCUGCAGGGCACCUGGCGUCCACUGGUCCAGGGCAAAGGCGUAUUAUUGUUCUUCAGCACGCGUGCGUCAGUGGGAACGGCCCCUUCUAAGGGAAACAGUGUGUGACUGGAGAAAUCUCUCAAAGGUGCUGGUGCCUGAGUUUCCCUGGCUGGACAUCCUGGAUACUGAUGACUACGUCAGGCACUCCUUGGAUUAAGAAUUCAGCCUAUCAUGUUAAGAUCUAGAGAAUUCAGCAUAUCAUGUUAACUCCGAAAGGACACUGAAUUACAGCAGCCAUCCAUGAUGAUGAGAACCAAAUAUGCAUCAUAAAGACAAAAGAGACCUGUUUUCAAGAAGAUGAGAAGGAGACUUGACAGGACUUUAUUGGUUCAUAAAUUAACUUGGUAGAUUUACAAUCAUUACUUGGAAUGCCAGGAACUCUUUUUAGGAACUAAUUUUCAAGAGGGAAGAAAACACGUUUAAGUCAGAAUAUGAAAUUGACACCUCAAGCUGCCCAGAAAAAGUCAAAGAGUAACAUGCAGCAGUUCAACAAACAGCUCCAGGCAAUUCCACGCGAGAUGAUCGAAUGGCUGGGGCUGAGGGGACAUGCCGGGCGGCUGCAGACG